Molecule: long non-coding RNA, 2214 nt
Organism: Rhopalosiphum padi (bird cherry-oat aphid)
Lineage: Eukaryota; Metazoa; Arthropoda; Insecta; Hemiptera; Aphididae
Exons: 8
Source: RefSeq, a predicted model, not a curated record
UCUCGUUAUUUUUCUGUAAGUUGUAUAAUAUAAUUAGUGCUGUGUAUCUACUUGAUUGACCAUCGAUAGUUACAACUCGUAUAGUUGAGGUUCUGCCGUUCCUAAACUAUAAGUUUAGUAACUGCAUUUUUCAUUGUAUUUUGUUGUAGAAUUUAUUGAUGACUAUACAAUUGAGGCUGUACCAACCAGUUGGAUUAAAAAUGGUAUGUGUGUGCAUGACCUACUACAAAAAAAGAUUCUACUCUUAGAAAGCUGAUAGAAAGAAAAAGUCUUCCAAAUGACAUAGAGUAUAAUCAAUACAAGAUUAAAGUAUUAAAAACAACUAGUAAGAUUCAUUAAUAAAAGCAAGAGAAAUUACUAAAGAAGGACUUACAAAAACCGAUAUAUCAUCUACUGAAGAUUAUGAUUUAAAACAUAAACGUAAAUGCAAACAAAAGACAAUACUUCCAAUCACUAUGGAAUCAUUAUUAUGUCCUACUUAUUCAGCAUCUGAAGAUAAAUCCAAUGGCAAUUGUAAUAUUGAUAUUGUUGCUACAUUUCAAGUCACUGAGCCACGAGUAAAUGGUUGGUUACCUUCUCCGAACAAAUUAAAAAGUUCUCAAACUACAAACUCUAGUAAAAAUAAAUAUUUAUGUUCAAAACCCUCAGUUUCCAGACAACUUUCAUAUACUAGUUUGACAAGAAAAAAAAAAUUAUGUCAAAACCUUUAACAAAUGAUAAAAUAGAUAUUGAUGAUAAUAUAUUUGGAAGUGAUGAUUCAAUAACAGCUCUACCAUCUGAAUCACAGUCAUCCAGUCAUGUAAAUCUAGUCAAUUUGUUUUUAUAUACUAGAAGAAAUUCAGAAAAAUGUAACCAGCAAGAUGAAUAUAAUAUCAUCAAUAGAAAAACAAAAACUGCCGCAAGCUUCACACGUGAUCGAUACACCAACCGCAUUAACUACUGGCUAAACAAAUUGUCUUAAUAAUAGGCAUAUAUCAAAUAAAUUACUAACUAAAAUAAGAAUAACUUGGGAAUAAAUAAUUACAAUUAGUUUUAAUGGUUGAAUUAGUUUAUAUUAAGUUGAAUUCAUUUUUUCUAUUGGUGUCAUUCAAUCAAAUAGUGUUAUUACAAAAUAAAGUCCCUAUAUUAACUUCUUUAAUAUCAUAUCAAUGAUAACAAGCUGGGUUGUUCCGUAGCUCCUUGAAUUUGUAUGUUUUAUUAUUGUGGUUUUAGAUUAUUUUAAGAAAGACAUAAUUGUGUUUUGUAAGAUGGAAAUAAUUAAAUACACAAAAUUUGACUUAGAAGAAAAAUAAAAGAUAUUUUAAGAAAAUACCAUAUAUUUGCACACUUCUUAGCAUUUUUGUUGCGUAUUAGUAUGUUUAUAAUUGUAAUAUUAUUGGUCUAUGUUUUGUUUAGAUAACUUUUUGGGUAUUUAUUAAUAUUCUCAUACUAUUAUGAUUAACAAAAUAAAACUACAAAACUAUAUCUAUUAACUAUUGAGUGUUAAUUUCUUCAUAAACAUAUUUCAAAUAUCUUUAUAAUAAAGUCUAGUUUCUUACUAUACUGAUUGGAUUGUGAUUUUCAAUAAGAGGUGCUGUAUAGAUUGGCUUAUGUAAAACAUGAACUUAAAAGACUUGUCAAUAAUCAAAUGGACAUUGUACAAAGAAUUGAAUCAAUUGAAACACGUCUUGAAGUUAAAACCAUUUCAAGUACAAGUAGCAACUGUAAUAAUACAUCAUCAUUAAAUGAAAUAAGUGAUUGCAUUUUACCAUUGGAUAACACAACAGACCUUGAUACAUUUAAUGACAAAAUAUCUGUAGAUAGAUCCUUUCAAAUUAAUUUGGACUAAUCAACAGUUAUAUUCGUGGAAAACAUUUCAAAUUGAUUAUCAAAAGAAUUAUGAACAAGCUAUUUCCGGAUGAGUUAUUACAACACUUUUCAUAUUCUUGAAAAUCUGGAAAGAAGUUAAAAUUUUCAAAUUUAGCUGUUUGUUCUGUAAUUUUAAAUGCUGUUAAACAACAAUCCAAGUAUAAAAAUCAAGCUUCUGAAAGUGAAAUGAAAGAAGUGAUUAAAAAUGUCCUAGUUCAAGCAUCUUUUAACAUAAAAAGGAAAAUACUACAAUAAAUAUAACCUACCAUUUGUAACAAUUGCAGUAUUAAAAUUAUUAUGUUUAAUAUUUGAUAUUUUUAAUAUUUUAUUAUGUAAUCUGCAAAUAUCAUAUUAAGUUUAUUAUAU